UGGGGAAUUUUGGACAAUGGGCGAAAGCCUGAUCCAGCAAUGCCGCGUGUGUGAAGAAGGCCUUCGGGUUGUAAAGCACUUUUGUCCGGAAAGAAAUCCUUGGCUCUAAUACAGUCGGGGGAUGACGGUACCGGAAGAAUAAGCACCGGCUAACUACGUGCCAGCAGCCGCGGUAAUACGUAGGGUGCAAGCGUUAAUCGGAAUUACUGGGCGUAAAGCGUGCGCAGGCGGUUUGCUAAGACCGAUGUGAAAUCCCCGGGCUCAACCUGGGAACUGCAUUGGUGACUGGCAGGCUAGAGUAUGGCAGAGGGGGGUAGAAUUCCACGUGUAGCAGUGAAAUGCGUAGAGAUGUGGAGGAAUACCGAUGGCGAAGGCAGCCCCCUGGGCCAAUACUGACGCUCAUGCACGAAAGCGUGGGGAGCAAACAGGAUUAGAUACCCUGGUAGUCCACGCCCUAAACGAUGUCAACUAGUUGUUGGGGAUUCAUUUCCUUAGUAACGUAGCUAACGCGUGAAGUUGACCGCCUGGGGAGUACAGUCGCAAGAUUAAAACUUAAAGGAAUUGACGGGGUCAUAGCUGUUUCCU
RNAcentral lists this ribosomal RNA (585 nucleotides) under uncultured bacterium. Its description in RNAcentral is "partial 16S ribosomal RNA". It matches the Rfam family "Bacterial small subunit ribosomal RNA", at positions 355 to 1375 of the family's 1533-position model. The record is from RNAcentral.